CCUACGGGAGGCAGCAGUGAGGAAUAUUGGUCAAUGGCCGGAAGGCUGAACCAGCCAUGCCGCGUGAAGGUCAGUGCCCUAUGGGCGUUAAACUUCUUUUGUGUGGGAGCAAUAAUGGUCACGUGUGGCCAGACGAGAGUACCGUACGAAUAAGCAUCGGCUAACUCCGUGCCAGCAGCCGCGGUAAUACGGGGGAUGCAAGCGUUAUCCGGAUUUAUUGGGUGUAAAGGGUGCGUAGGCUGUGAGGUAAGUCAGCGGGGAAAUGCCCCCGCUCAACGGGGUGAAGUGCAAUUGAUACUGCCUUGCUGGAAUGCGGAUGACGUGGGAGGAAUGUGUGGGGUAGCGGUGAAAUGCAUAGAUAUCACACAGAACACCGAUUGCGAAGGCAUCUCACGAAUCCGCGAUUGACGCUGAUGCACGAAAGCGUGGGUAUCAAACAGGAUUAGAUACCCUAGUAGUC
This 460-nucleotide ribosomal RNA is filed under the name uncultured bacterium. RNAcentral describes it as "partial 16S ribosomal RNA". It matches the Rfam family "Bacterial small subunit ribosomal RNA", at positions 338 to 795 of the family's 1533-position model. The record is from RNAcentral.